This 100-nucleotide ribosomal RNA is filed under the name uncultured bacterium. Its description in RNAcentral is "partial 16S ribosomal RNA". It matches the Rfam family "Bacterial small subunit ribosomal RNA", at positions 1386 to 1482 of the family's 1533-position model. The record is from RNAcentral.
CACACCGCCCGUCACGUCAUGAAAGUUGGAGACGCCUGAAGUCGGUCAGCCAACCCUUUCGGGGAGGCAGCCGCCGAGGGUGGUGCCAGCGAUUGGGACG